Molecule: long non-coding RNA, 149 nt
Organism: Sander lucioperca (pikeperch)
Lineage: Eukaryota; Metazoa; Chordata; Actinopteri; Perciformes; Percidae
Exons: 3
Source: RefSeq, a predicted model, not a curated record
AAAGGACACUAUGUAUGCUAACUUCUAGGGGUAGUGUUCAUUAUUAUACAGUACAUUCAACUAAGCUAAGCAUCGUGUGACAAUCCUCUUUGACAUUGCAUACAGUACAGAGGACAGAGCACAUGAAAGCAACGAGCUAAAUGUUAAAA